Molecule: ribosomal RNA, 616 nt
Filed under: Draconematidae sp. 602_6-1500_O
Lineage: Eukaryota; Metazoa; Nematoda; Chromadorea; Desmodorida; Draconematidae
Description: eukaryotic LSU rRNA
Rfam family: Eukaryotic large subunit ribosomal RNA
Source: RNAcentral
GAGAGUUCAAGAGGGCGUGAAACCGCUUGGAAGCAAACAGAUGGACCUGACGGAGAGUCGCAGGGAUUCAGCCCACUGUCGUACCUCAGCCUGCUGCCUGAUCGUGAUGACAGGCUUGUGGAUCCUGGUGUGCCCAGUGGGUGCAUUUCCCUGUGAUGCGCAUCAGAGCCUGUGUCGGUGCUGGAUGUAUGGUGGGGCUUGCCGGCCAACCUUGUUGGUGUCCCAACCCUGCCUGAAACCGGGUUACUGGCACAGGGCUGAAGCAGUUGCCCGCGUGACUCCCCUGCGUUUUCCUGCCCGCGCUAUUAAACGGCAGUCUCAUGCUUGCAUGGCACAGCGACCUUGGCAUGGGUGGUGGGCGUAGUGGGAGUUUGGGUGGCCUUCUCUGGUGUUUUAGUCAGUGACCCAUCUGACCCGUCUUGAAACACGGACCAAGGAGUCUAACAUGUGCGCGAGUCACUGGGUUGCAACACCCAAAGGCGUAAUGAAAGUAAAGUCUGGUUCGGCUGGACGACAUGGGACCCUCUCCUCCGGGAGAGGUGCACCAUGGUCCCGUCUAUACUGCAUUGUCAGUUGGGCGGAGAUAGAGCGUACACGUUGGGACCCGAAAGAUGGU